Molecule: long non-coding RNA, 608 nt
Organism: Lynx canadensis (Canada lynx)
Lineage: Eukaryota; Metazoa; Chordata; Mammalia; Carnivora; Felidae
Exons: 5
Source: RefSeq, a predicted model, not a curated record
GCACUAGUGGAAGAGGGGGAAGAAUUUGAGAAAGCGUCUAAAUUGACAGGACCUGGAGAAGCCUCCAGUGGAGGACAGUCACUGAAAAACUACCUGGAAGAAGAUGAAUCUUUAAAGCAAUUGCAAGUAGUUCAUCAGCCAUGGAUCUUGCCAAGUGACACAGAAAGUGAAGGAGUAGAAGCAGAACAAGAUAAACGUUCUGCUGAUCUUCUCCUUUGUGUCCCAUGCUCCUCUUGUCCUACACUGGUCUACUCUGGUAUGUUUGCUCAGGGCACUUAAUACCAAUGUCAGGUCUGUGAAGCAGGCAGAAGUUCCAGGUGGUCCUUAAAGAAAUUGCAAUUAUUCAAAUCCUUAUGUAUAGUUCUAAUUUUAUUUACUAUGUGUAAUCACUUAGAGAAUGGUUAUUUUUAUAAUAUCAAUAAUAAACAAGUACUCUUGUAACCAGGGGGUGCCUAAAGGUGUAAUCAGAGAACACUAACCCUGGCAAAGGAUUCUGGGGUGGUCAGGAUGUCUGCUGCCUUUUGACAUGGUUAGUGUCCUGGAUUUAGAUUACUUUAUACCCAGUUAUUAAGAUUACUAUUUGAUACAUUAAAUAUUGCCUGAUUCAA